Molecule: ribosomal RNA, 1284 nt
Filed under: Bacillus altitudinis
Lineage: Bacteria; Bacillati; Bacillota; Bacilli; Caryophanales; Bacillaceae
Description: bacterial SSU rRNA
Rfam family: Bacterial small subunit ribosomal RNA
Source: RNAcentral
GACGGGUGAGUAACACGUGGGUAACCUGCCUGUAAGACUGGGAUAACUCCGGGAAACCGGAGCUAAUACCGGAUAGUUCCUUGAACCGCAUGGUUCAAGGAUGAAAGACGGUUUCGGCUGUCACUUACAGAUGGACCCGCGGCGCAUUAGCUAGUUGGUGGGGUAAUGGCUCACCAAGGCGACGAUGCGUAGCCGACCUGAGAGGGUGAUCGGCCACACUGGGACUGAGACACGGCCCAGACUCCUACGGGAGGCAGCAGUAGGGAAUCUUCCGCAAUGGACGAAAGUCUGACGGAGCAACGCCGCGUGAGUGAUGAAGGUUUUCGGAUCGUAAAGCUCUGUUGUUAGGGAAGAACAAGUGCGAGAGUAACUGCUCGCACCUUGACGGUACCUAACCAGAAAGCCACGGCUAACUACGUGCCAGCAGCCGCGGUAAUACGUAGGUGGCAAGCGUUGUCCGGAAUUAUUGGGCGUAAAGGGCUCGCAGGCGGUUUCUUAAGUCUGAUGUGAAAGCCCCCGGCUCAACCGGGGAGGGUCAUUGGAAACUGGGAAACUUGAGUGCAGAAGAGGAGAGUGGAAUUCCACGUGUAGCGGUGAAAUGCGUAGAGAUGUGGAGGAACACCAGUGGCGAAGGCGACUCUCUGGUCUGUAACUGACGCUGAGGAGCGAAAGCGUGGGGAGCGAACAGGAUUAGAUACCCUGGUAGUCCACGCCGUAAACGAUGAGUGCUAAGUGUUAGGGGGUUUCCGCCCCUUAGUGCUGCAGCUAACGCAUUAAGCACUCCGCCUGGGGAGUACGGUCGCAAGACUGAAACUCAAAGGAAUUGACGGGGGCCCGCACAAGCGGUGGAGCAUGUGGUUUAAUUCGAAGCAACGCGAAGAACCUUACCAGGUCUUGACAUCCUCUGACAACCCUAGAGAUAGGGCUUUCCCUUCGGGGACAGAGUGACAGGUGGUGCAUGGUUGUCGUCAGCUCGUGUCGUGAGAUGUUGGGUUAAGUCCCGCAACGAGCGCAACCCUUGAUCUUAGUUGCCAGCAUUUAGUUGGGCACUCUAAGGUGACUGCCGGUGACAAACCGGAGGAAGGUGGGGAUGACGUCAAAUCAUCAUGCCCCUUAUGACCUGGGCUACACACGUGCUACAAUGGACAGAACAAAGGGCUGCGAGACCGCAAGGUUUAGCCAAUCCCAUAAAUCUGUUCUCAGUUCGGAUCGCAGUCUGCAACUCGACUGCGUGAAGCUGGAAUCGCUAGUAAUCGCGGAUCAGCAUGCCGCGGUGAAUACGUU